Molecule: ribosomal RNA, 301 nt
Filed under: uncultured bacterium
Lineage: Bacteria
Description: partial 16S ribosomal RNA
Rfam family: Bacterial small subunit ribosomal RNA
Source: RNAcentral
CAGCAGCCGCGGGAAUACGAAGGGGGCUAGCGUUGCUCGGAAUUACUGGGCGUAAAGGGAGCGUAGGCGGAUCGUUUAGUCAGGGGUGAAAUCCCGGGGCUCAACCUCGGAACUGCCUUUGAUACUGGCGAUCUUGAGUACGGGAGAGGUGUGUGGAACUCCGAGUGUAGAGGUGAAAUUCGUAGAUAUUCGGAAGAACACCAGUGGCGAAGGCGACACACUGGCCCAUUACUGACGCUGAGGCUCGAAAGCGUGGGGAGCAAACAGGAUUAGAUACCCCGGUAGUCCCUGUCUCUUAUAC